RNAcentral lists this long non-coding RNA (203 nucleotides) under Trifolium pratense (red clover). Its description in RNAcentral is "long non-coding RNA (TPRA_LNC013450)". The record is from RNAcentral. Lineage: Eukaryota; Viridiplantae; Streptophyta; Magnoliopsida; Fabales; Fabaceae.
CCCAAACCCAAAGGCUGUUCGGGUGACAAAACAACACCCACGCCCACACCCAUUGGGUUCGGGUUUUUUCCACCCAAACCCAAACCCGCAGCACAUUUGAAAAUAAUUUGCAAAUUUAAGAAAUUAAAUUCCAACAUAAACUUUGAAUUAAAUUACAACUAAAAUUAAGGUCUUCCAAGGAAAUUCAAACAUUGACUUUCAAG